AUGAGAGCAGUUAUGACACUGAACUGUGAAGCUCGUACCAGUACCAGAACAACUUCAGAGACACCACAACAAGAAGAGGUGCAGCCAGAUUCAGUACAAACAAGAGUUCUGAAAUGGGCUCAUAACACCCGCUCAGGAUCUGAAGCAACUGCUGCUGGAUUAAAUCGUGGUCCUUGGGAACGGAGUCCCAAGGUGGGACGAAAAUUCAACUGCAGAACCUGUGCUGCCAACUGGGAGCCACAAGUCCUAUGUGAAACUGUAAGUGGGUUCCCCAACAGAAAAGCUUUGGAAGCACUAUUCAAAAAUAACUACUCACAGGAAAACUUGGGAGUGCUACUUAUAGUGGCUCACGUAGGAUAGAAGGUAAUGGAAUAUGUAGGUGAGAGAGAAAAUGUUCUCCUUUAAACACAGCAAUAUGUGUAAGAUGAGUCAUGCCUCCUGGUCUUUAAUUUGACAUUGUCAUAGUAAAAAUAAAAGAUACAAAAGCUAAAUAGAAAAUGUUAAU
This 505-nucleotide long non-coding RNA is filed under the name Struthio camelus australis. Its description in RNAcentral is "lncRNA (ENSSCUG00000012032.1)". The record is from RNAcentral. Lineage: Eukaryota; Metazoa; Chordata; Aves; Struthioniformes; Struthionidae.